GACGAACGCUGGCGGCGUGCUUAACACAUGCAAGUCGAACGGAAAGGCCCUGCUUUUGUGGGGUGCUCGAGUGGCGAACGGGUGAGUAACACGUGAGUAACCUGCCCUUGACUUUGGGAUAACUUCAGGAAACUGGGGCGAAUACCGGAGAGGAGCUCCUGCUGCACGGUGGGGGAUGGAAAGUUUCGGCGGUUGGGGAUGGACUCGCGGCUUAUCAGCUUGUUGGGGGGGUAGUGGCUUACCAAGGCUUUGACGGGUAGCCGGCCUGAGAGGGUGAGCGGCCACAUUGGGACUGCGAUGCGGCCCAGACUCCUACGGGAGGCAGCAGUGGGGAAUAUUGCGCAAUGGGCGGAAGCCUGAUGCAGCAACGCCGCGUGCGGGAUGACGGCCUUCGGGUUGUAAACCGCUUUCGCCUGUGACGAAGCGUGAGUGACGGUAAUGGGUAAAGAAGCACCGGCUAACUACGUG
Molecule: ribosomal RNA, 468 nt
Filed under: uncultured bacterium
Lineage: Bacteria
Description: partial 16S ribosomal RNA
Rfam family: Bacterial small subunit ribosomal RNA
Source: RNAcentral